RNAcentral lists this long non-coding RNA (344 nucleotides) under Felis catus (domestic cat). RNAcentral describes it as "lncRNA (ENSFCAG00000045157.2)". The record is from RNAcentral. Lineage: Eukaryota; Metazoa; Chordata; Mammalia; Carnivora; Felidae.
GUGAUGAGGGAGCAUCAGAGAGAUUCUUCCGCCUGCCCCCAGCUGUGUCUGUCCCUCUCCCCCGCUGCCGGCGGGUCCCACUUCCCUUCACCAUCCUGCCUCGCUUCUCCGCGGCCGGCCUGACUUGGUGGCAUUUCCUGCCCCGAGAUUGACAGCAAGAUAAGGUCCACAGCAUGGACCAAAUCAGGGAAGGCAGGCUUGGGUUAGGAGAGGGGAGAAAAGGCAGUUUUCUGCAGGUGCUCCCUAGUCCCCCACCGAAGCUUGCCCUUGACCCCAUCAGGAGCAUGCACAGCCAGCCAGUCGCAGAGAUUUGAGACUGAGGUGCUCCUGGUGGCUCAUAGACA